This is an RNA transcript of Cavia porcellus (domestic guinea pig), 1324 nucleotides long. It is a transcript of the gene named ribonuclease H1, with no coding region annotated. Lineage: Eukaryota; Metazoa; Chordata; Mammalia; Rodentia; Caviidae. The transcript is spliced from 8 exons. The record is from RefSeq and is marked validated.
CUCCGCGCCGCUACCGGAAGUGUGGUAGUGAGCGCUUCUGGAUCCGCCUGGGUUCUCUGGACCUUCAAAAUGUGGCGCCCUGCGCGGAAGUGAGCAAUGCGCUGGGUCCUGCCGCUGGCCCGCAAAGUGUCUCUCGGUGUUGUGCGCUAUAGCCACAGCCCCUGCAGGCUCGGGAUGUUCUAUGCGGUGCGCAGAGGCCGUAGGACCGGGGUCUUCUCGACUUGGAAUGAGUGCAGAGCACAGGUGGACCGGUUUCCUGCUGCCAGAUUUAAGAAGUUUGCCACUGAGGAUGAGGCCUGGGCCUUUGUCAGGAAGUCUGCGAGCCCAGAGGGCUCAGAAGGGCAGAAAGACACAGAAGAAUCACAGGUGAAAGCCAGUAAGCGGCUCCGGGAGCCUUUGGAUGACAGUGAAGACGCAGGCACAGAGCCGAGUGCCAAGCUCUCAAGACAGAGCACAGAGCCUAUCCCUCCCAUUAGCAAAGACACAUUUUCUUACAUGGGAGACUCCGUUGUUGUCUACACUGACGGCUGCUGCUCCAGUAACGGGCGGAGAAGGGCCCGGGCAGGAAUCGGCGUCUACUGGGGGCCUGGCCACCCUCUAAAUGUAGGCAUUAGACUUCCUGGGCGACAGACUAACCAGAGAGCGGAAAUCCAUAGAACAUGGUCAGCUCAGAACAGGAAGUGGUGUUUCGGUGGAAAGUCACUACUAGCGUGGGGAAUGCCUGCAGCUGAGCUUCCUGUGCAGCCUGACUGUGGACUGUGUUUCUCAAGGCAGCAUGCAAAGCCAUCGAGCAAGCCAAGGCUCAGGACAUCAGCAAGCUGGUGCUGUACACGGACAGCAUGUUCACCAUCAAUGGAAUCACCAGCUGGGUACCGGGUUGGAAGAAGAACGGGUGGAGGACGAGCACGGGCAAAGAAGUGAUCAACAAGGAGGACUUCGAGCGGCUGGAGCAGCUCGCGGAGGGCAUGGACAUCCAGUGGAUGCACAUUCCAGGCCAUUCGGGAUUCACGGGCAAUGAGGAGGCAGACCGGCUGGCCAGAGAAGGCGCCAGGCAGCCUGAAGAUGGAGCAGAGUCCCUGAGGACCCACAACUCCUGAGCCUCCAUUCUCCAGUGUGCACUGCAGCUCUGCUGACGGCUGCAGUGGACAGGUGGACACAGCUUCCCCCCAACCCUGAGAUCAGCUCCACUGUGGUGUCCCGUGACAUGGCAGGACACGCUUACAGAAAGCAGCAAACACGCUGGAGACCUGCAGAUUCUGUGAACUGUCAGCUCUGUACUUAUUAGGCUCGAUACGGCAGUAAAACACUGCAGUCUGGUCUAGAA